Molecule: RNA transcript, 2886 nt
Organism: Leptopilina heterotoma
Lineage: Eukaryota; Metazoa; Arthropoda; Insecta; Hymenoptera; Figitidae
Gene name: band 4.1-like protein 4
Exons: 16
Source: RefSeq, a predicted model, not a curated record
UGAUCGGAGCACUGGCCGUGAUCCUCUCGAGCUCAUCGCGCACUCUCAGCCCUCCGCAAAACUUUUCGUCAUUUUCCUCCCGGUAUUUCUUCAAUCGCGUCCUGUAUCCGUUAGUUCGCAUUCCCGUCAACGUCAUCUUCAAAUCGUUUCUGUUUAUAAACUACACGAUAAUUUCUUUAUAAAUUCUUCUUUUUUUUGUUGUUGUUGUUGUUUUAUUUUUCGUGUUUUUUUUUCACUCUUCUUUUUUAUUUUUCUGUCAUGACGCGCGAAAUACAAAAACAACUGUCAUUCGGAUAAACGUGGUGAUGAAUUUUUGUGAAAUGACAAUUGCUGUAAAAUUAAGUGAUUUUUGAGGAUUUUGAGUUCUUUGAUUUUUUUGAGAGGAUGCUUUAAAUUCUGAGGAGAAUCGUUGGGGUAAUAUUGAAGAGCAAUGGUCGUCGAUUGGCUGUGUCCGGGUCUUAGGCCCACUGGCAAUCGGAGGCCCCGUCUUCUUCACUGCAAAGUGAUUCUUCUCGAUGAGCACGAACUUCUUCAGGAUGUAUUGAGUUCAAAUCUGGGACAAGAAUUAUUGGAUCGAGUUUUUAGACAUCUGAAUCUUUUGGAAACUGCCUACUUUGGUCUGAGAUAUCUUGACAACGAAAAUCAAACGCAAUGGCUCGAUCCAAGCAAGAAAAUCAGCAAGCAACUCAAAUUUCAAAAGGGAGAUCACAGCCUCGACGUUCACACUCUCUACUUUGGCGUGAAAUUCUACGCAGCCGAUCCCUGCAAACUCAUCGAAGAAAUUACAAGGUAUCAAUUCUUCCUGCAAGUCAAACAGGACAUUCUUCAAGGGAGGCUCCCGGUAUCCUUCGAUCUGGCAGCCGAAUUAGGAGCAUAUGUCGUUCAAUCUGAGCUUGGAGAUUACGAUCCCAGGAGGCAUUCAAUUGGCUACGUGACCGAAUUUCGAUUCCUGGCGAAUCAGACUUCUGAACUUGAAACAAGAAUAGUCGAACUACACAAGACUUUAGUAGGGCAGUUACCAUCGGCGGCAGAGCUUAAUUACUUAGAUAAAGUAAAAUGGCUCGAAAUGUACGGUGUCGACUUACAUCCAGUUUUGGGUGAGGACAACGUUGAGUACUUUUUGGGUCUCACUCCAAGUGGUAUAAUAUUAUUACGCAAUAAAACCAAAGUGGGAAAUUACUACUGGCCCCGAAUCAACAAAAUUUACUACAAGGGAAAAUAUUUCAUGCUACGUGUGUGUGAAAAAAAUUCGGAGGAAAGAACACACGGUUUUGAGACGCCGUCAAAAGGAGCUUGCAGACAUCUUUGGAAAUGUUGUCAGGAGCAUCAAGCUUUCUUUAGACUUAUGGCCACGGGUCAACCGCCUUUGAGUCCAUAUUCACGUUUUCGCUCUUACAGUCCGCCGUCGGGUUCGGAAAAGCAUUUGGCAAUUAGAAGAAAUCCACCGCCAUUUCAAAGGACACCAAGUCGACGUGCUCAACGGCGUGUUGUCGAGGGUCAAGAAAUGGUCAGUCCUUAUAUUGAAGCGCCGCCAAUUAAUUCAAGUCCAGGAAUAAUAACCAAUAAUACAAUGUGCAGUAAUAUUCAUAGUCUACAUAAUGUUCAUGGUAUUCAGCACGUUCAUAAUGUUCAUAAUUCGAGACACGUUAAUUCAAGUCCAAGAAGUACAAGAAGCGCACCGUGGAUGCAAAGUCAACCACGUGGUCUCUACACAUCGUCUAGUCCUCGAUCCGUUCGUUCUACAGGAACGGCUCCAGCUCUCCUGAGCAGACUCCAGAGAAGGAGCAGCUCGGUGGAGAGUCAAAGUUCAGGGGAUAGUCAUAAUCGCGGUGGUCACAGGAGGAGAAGUCAUAGUCAUAGUCAUCGAAGACACAGUCGACAUUCCGAUUGUGAAUCCGAAAUGUCCCGGGGAUCUGAAUCCAGAUCUAAUCACCGGAAACAUCGACGGAAGCACAGAAGCUCUCGAAAUUCUAGACACGAAUUAAUAGACUCUGAACCUCAAUGGAGAGAAGUUCAAAGACGAAAAAAUGAUAGUGUUCAAAGAGCAGUUGUGAGUCAUACCGAGCCAAGAAGGAGGCACAGAAGUAGACACAGGAGUCCUUCUCAAAAGCAAACCCUACCUGACGAACUUAGAAAACACUUGGAGUUCAGUCUAGUCGACACUACAGGAAUGAGUGAACAACAGCGUCGUGAAAUUUCAUAUACUGUGGUACAAUCUCAAGGGAUACAGCAAAAUAUACUUCAAUCUAGCAAUCGAUUGGAUAAUAUUGUCGAUACAUCGGCGCCUAGAACGAAAAAAAUGAUUUCAAGUAUCGGAAUGUUAGACAGUCAAGGAUUCACUUUCAGAACAAUGGGAUCCAUUGGGAAAAGAGAACGGCGAGUGGUUCAUCAUAGUCGUGAGGGAAGUUAUAACUUUUCCACCACCCAAUCAAGACCAAAUCGAGUUUUAUCAAAGUAUCCUGAUACUAGGAACGAGUACAAUGCAGGGAGGGACUUUGAUAGUACUCAUAACAGCAGAUUGUUAAUAGGCAAUAACGUGGACAGUGGACUUGGUGAAAGCACUCCACAGGACUUUUCCAGCUGUUGCUCGAGUUCUGCUGACAGCACUAAACACAUUCGUGUAGGGAAAUUUUAAGUGAAAAUCGUUUUUCUGAUACAGACGCAAAGGCAAUUAGAAGCAGAGAGACGUUAUAGACUUUCAAAUCAAGAAACUUAUCCUCCUGUCGACGUUACGUUGGAUGCAGUUCUUCAACCAAUAAUAUCAACUCUUACACGAAGACCAAGAAAUCGUCCAAAAUAGAAUGAAGAGAAAUUUAAAUAAAAAAUAGUUCUUUGUAAUUGCACAUACUGUAUAAGAAUUAAGUGAAACUUUUUAUACCUCAAAAA